This 238-nucleotide ribosomal RNA is filed under the name uncultured bacterium. RNAcentral describes it as "partial 16S ribosomal RNA". It matches the Rfam family "Bacterial small subunit ribosomal RNA", at positions 91 to 339 of the family's 1533-position model. The record is from RNAcentral.
ACGAGUGGCGGACGGGUGAGUAAUGCGUAAGAACUUGCCUCUCAGAGGGGGAUAACUUAGGGAAACUUAAGGUAAUACCGCAUAUGCCUACGGGUGAAAGCUGGGGAAACCUGGCGCUGAGAGAGAGGCUUACGUCAGAUUAGCUAGUUGGUGGGGUAAAGGCUUACCAAGGCAAAGAUCUGUAGCUGGUCUGAGAGGAUGAUCAGCCACACUGGGACUGAGACACGGCCCAGACUCC